UCGUUCGUAAAAAUACAUCGCAAAAUUUUUUUGUUCCUUAGAUAAAUUAGAUCAAAUACUUGCAAAAUUGUUUAUUCAAAUUGGUCGGGAAAAACGGUAAUAUUUUCGUCUGGAAAAUCUGUAAAAUUCCGGGAAUUUCGGGACGGAGGUUUUAGUGGCCAUCCUAAUUUCAACGCUCGCGUCUAUCUACGCGGAUGUAUCCGAUCCAACUAAGCACAGUAUACACACGCUGCACGUGCCUCUACGCCUCUGCUGUCCUGCCUUAGUACCACGCUACUACCGCUUGACCUUGACCCCAUGUUCUAUUUACACGACAGCUGGGACCCGCACGGAGAUACGACGGAGGCGAUGCAGACGACGAGGUCCAGCAGCGGAAUUACUCGACGCAGUCUCGUCGACAACAUUCGACAAGAAUCUUACCGGCAGGCCUCGCCUUGGCGAGGAAAGGCUUCGGGCAUUCGGUACGCACUUGAUCGCACAUCUCACAGGACGAAUUCCAUCAGGCUUACAUGGAAAAAGACAUGGCUCGAAGAUUUCGUAUUUGAAAUUGCAAACUGAAUCGGUGAUCAUCGAAAGUCCGUGGCAGCAAACUCUUUUCUACACUGUCGCAAUUGCUUGAAGUCGGGAACAGUGACUUCGAAGAGGGAGGCAGACUCUUGUAUAUCCAUCAUCUGCCGCUCCAGCAUCGAAAUCUCUUUGUCAGCUUCGUCGAGCUGCUUGUAAGGAUCCUCACAGCUGUACUUGAAGAAUCCGUAACGCCGGAACGCCUCGCGAUAGUGACAAAUUGUCGUAUCGAAGGCUGAUAUACGCCCUCUGAUCCUAGACACCUCUCCUAGAUACAUAUAGUCGGCACAUUGAAAUGGCAUCUAUCGGAAGUCUAGCCGAAAAAAACACGAUGGAAAGAAACAAGAAUCGAAGACCUUCGUCCGCGAGUCUGCGAAAUGUGGUUUAAGCCAGAUAGAAACAGAUGUGGAUACGAAGGUGAAGAAAUACCGGAACACUGACCUGAUAAAGGAGCCCAAGUCUGACAGGCUGCUGGUAACGCGUUCUACGAGAUGUUUUUUGAACAUACUCGACCACUUGCACACCGUAUUCAACAACGACUGUCUGAACGGCCUGAUAUCGACUCGGAACCAGCCGCAAAACACUUUGGACGGAUUCAUUUCCUCGAUUUCAAGAGCCUCGUCAACGUCGCUCUGAAAUAUCGACGAAGGAUCGAGGAAUCUUCGGGCCUCCUGAAUCAGCAGGUUGCAAAUUUGCCGUAGCAGGAUAAUCAGCUUCGAAGAGCUCUGGUAAUACUUCGACAAGCUCCAGGCGAGUCCCACCGUGUGUAUCAACGGGCCCAUCAACGGCUUGGCGUCGGCGAAGUCGGUUUCUUCGAUGCUUUUGAAGUUCUUCGUCAAGGGCGAAAGGUACAGCGACACUUCCCGCGCCUCCGCUAAGGCUGACACGACGUUUCCGAAAAGGAAUAACAGCAGAGCUCGCCAACCUCAGGUUUGCCAGUCUGGUUGACCAGUACUCCAAUUCAGUAUUCGGAGUCGGGUUUUGUCCGUUGUCAAAAGCACUGCUCGACUCGUGGGUCACGACGUCGUUGACCAGAUAACUAGAGAGUCGAGAUUGAAUCCUGACUGCUUUCGGAUCAACGGAUAAUUCACUCUCCCUCCCACAAUAACCUUCCAAAACUCUGUCUCAACCUGGUACAACGUUCCCCGCAAAGAAUGAACAUGCUUCGCCAGAUCCUGGACGGCAAUCUCUGGAAGCUCUUUGUGGUUGUCCGGGUUGCUCAACAGAGGAGCAAAUAUUUCAUCAACGAGUGUGGCCAGCUGGUCGACGACCCGAGAGGCGAGGUCGCCCAAUAUCAGGGUUUUGAUGCAUCCAGUCUUGUCCUUUGGUACAGAAAUGGGGGAACAAGUGUUAUCACCUUUGGUCCUUUGACACGGUAUUGGAAAGCCCGACGAGGCAACAAGCUGCGCAUUUGGUGUUAGGACGACAAACAGCGCCGGAGGCUUUGGAUUGUCCAGAAAAUCUAUAACUGUGUUACGGCUGAGAUCUUUCCACCGCGGUUCAGACGUGCGGACUUUAGAGUAUGUUGAAUAAUUCGCGGAGUCGUCGAGUUUGAGAAACGAGAAGCCGGCUGCCUACCCGGGGUUAUUUCUCACCGUUGAGGAGUUCGAGGCGGUGAGAGUAGAAGCGUAAAAGACGUUUGGCCCGCACAAAGAAGGGAAAAGCGGGCGCGGAGCCGAAGCGCCAAUCAUAAGUCACCAAUACGUCGGAAACGUCUGCACCGGUGGAUAUUACGUCGGUACUUAUGUAUACCAUACCUACAUACACAAUUCGCAGCAAGGAGUAGGAGGAGGAGGAGGAGGAUAAAAGAACCGGCGAAUUCGACCUCCUAUUUCGCGAAUUGCUGAUGAGGGGCGACGCCCUAUCCUAACAAGGAAUAAUAAAUUGAUUACAGCCCAUAUGACGCGGGGUGCUCUCACAAAUUGGCACUGUAUAUAUAUAUAUAUAUAUAUAGAACGUUGGAUGCCCCCUACUUUAAAAUUUAAGAUAUCUACGAAUCAUGGCAUGGAGGGAGUGAUACUUCUAAUGCAGGAUAAUUGUAGGUUUAAAGUUCAAACUCUCUAUCCUGUAAUCCACGGAAUAAUUUAUCUAUCGUAUACUUGCCCUGUAUCUGUAAUCGUUCUUUUUUGAUUCACCGGUUUCACGUUGCAAGCAUCAACUCCGUCUAUGGAAUGCAAUUAGCUUAAUUUAUUAGGGGCAGUUUUUACCCUCGACGUUGCGCAGAUCGUGCUCGCGUAUAAUAUUAUACUGCAGGAAAAGAGUAAGUGGAUAAAAAAAAAAAAAAAAAAUUCAAGCUCUUGUCGAUAAUAGAAGAAAAUUUAUUAAAGAAGAGUAGACGGGGUAAUGAAGAAUUUAUUUUAAUUACAAGUUACUUACAAAGCCAAUAACAAUGUACGAGGUAGUCGAUAAAUGAAUAAAUGAAACCAAGCUUCUUUGUUGGGUGAAAACCCGGAGAAGUACUGCUUAGGUUGUGCCGACAGACUAGGAAUUAGGAUUGAAAAUCUCUCCCCUCCCCCCGAAUCAAUCCUCCCGACUACUGCGAGGGCUCGUUGAAAAGUUGACGUUUUCGGAAUAGUAAGUCCGAAAGUUCAGCCUCAUCUCUCCUCUGCGCUGGAACUUUUGAUUUCUAUAAUUUUGGGACAGGGGUGAAGUACGUGCGCGAAAUGAAUAAGAUAAACAGAAAUCUCCGUGCCCGUUCCGCGUACCGUUCGCCUCCUCGUUUUCGCCUGCAGGAAUCGGUAUAAAUACGGCAAAGAAAUAUUUCAACGCUAUUCGUUUCAUAUUAACCCAGUAGCCCGGUUGAUAAGUCAUUCCGGAAUGUCUCCCGCGAUGGGGUUGCAACGGAACGAGGGUGGUUCGGAGUCGAGGGACUGCGACGAGGGCUGAAAGUCGAGGGGUUAAAAAUCAAGGGUCUCCUCUUUGGCUACGUUCCCGGAAUACGUUAUGAACGCCGUGGAGGGAAGGAAAUAGUGCGGUAUAUCAUUUCAUUUCGUAUAAUUCAGCAGUAUAACUAUCUCCGCGAGUACGUUAACUAUUUAUUUAUCAUUUCUACGUAAGACACGUUAAUAUCGUCGGCAGAACAAAACGAGCCUCGUGUAUAAUCCCUUGAAAAGGGAUGAAAUUAUCGUGUCGUAGAAUUUUGAAACUGAUACAAAUUAAUAUCGAUUGACCAUACGGCCCAAAAUAACGCCGAAUCUUAACAUAGGAAAAAAGGUGCUUGUUCGACCCGAGGAUCGUCUUUCUAUCCGUCAAUCCUCCGUAUCGUGAUCUCCCUUUCUCGGCCCCCACCCUCCUCCUCCUUCUUCCCUCAGAACCUGAAGAAUUGGGCAGCAUUAAAGCUACUUUUCUAAGAACGGCGGUACGUCCAACCGACCUCGACGUGCCAACCAUACCGAUAACUUCGAUUCAAUCGGAUAUCGAUGGGGUUCAUUCGCGAUACAAUAGGAUAGUUAUCUGAUCCCUGCACCGUUCCAUCGUUCUCAGGCUAUUUCAAUUAACGAGAUGAUCGAGCACACCGUUGCCCGUCAGAUACCACUUUGACAUCGUUUAUCUGCAGCGAUGAGUGCAGGGUACGUUCUGGAUUAUGUCAGAACUCAACGUGGAUCCGGUGGAAAUUAUUUCGCAGUUGAUGCCGUUUUGAUUUCUUGGUCAAUGGGCAGCAUGAAAGAACGAAUGGUCCAAAUUUUAACCACGAAUCCAAUACAUUUUCAACCUAAGAAUUUUGCUUCUCAACAUGGAUUUGUAUGAUUCUUUUGAGACUAAUUGGACCCUCAUAAAUGUGAAACAAGAUCUGGAACAACGGACGACCAACAGUUAAGGAAUUACAAGGAUGAAACUAUGUAAAUUGACUUUGUAAUUAUUU
RNAcentral lists this long non-coding RNA (4426 nucleotides) under Neodiprion lecontei (redheaded pine sawfly). RNAcentral describes it as "uncharacterized LOC124294146". The record is from RNAcentral. Lineage: Eukaryota; Metazoa; Arthropoda; Insecta; Hymenoptera; Diprionidae.